ACCCUCCAGAUCCCUUGCCCUUCAGACCUAAACACUGGGCCUGAGUGGUGAGAAAAGGAGGAAACAUGAAGUUGAACCUGAUUUAAGUACUUUUCAACACAGGGCUAAUUUCAAACAAAC
RNAcentral lists this small nucleolar RNA (120 nucleotides) under Echinops telfairi (small Madagascar hedgehog). RNAcentral describes it as "Small nucleolar RNA SNORA61 (ENSETEG00000025247.1)". The record is from RNAcentral. Lineage: Eukaryota; Metazoa; Chordata; Mammalia; Afrosoricida; Tenrecidae.